This 253-nucleotide ribosomal RNA is filed under the name uncultured bacterium. RNAcentral's name for it is "partial 16S ribosomal RNA". It matches the Rfam family "Bacterial small subunit ribosomal RNA", at positions 524 to 776 of the family's 1533-position model. The record is from RNAcentral.
UACGUAGGGGGCAAGCGUUGUCCGGAAUCAUUGGGCGUAAAGCGCGCGUAGGCGGCCCGAUAAGUCUGCUGUGAAAGUCCAGGGCUCAACCCUGGAAUGCCGGUGGAUACUGUCGGGCUAGAGUUCGGAAGAGGCAAGUGGAAUUCCUGGUGUAGCGGUGGAAUGCGCAGAUAUCGGGAAGAACACCCGUGGCGAAGGCGGUUCUCUGGGACGGUACUGACGCUGAGACGCGAAAGCGUGGGGAGCGAACAGG